This 27-nucleotide small RNA is filed under the name Bombyx mori (domestic silkworm). RNAcentral's name for it is "ovarian small RNA-34940". The record is from RNAcentral. Lineage: Eukaryota; Metazoa; Arthropoda; Insecta; Lepidoptera; Bombycidae.
UGGCUGCUGUUUUGCCCCGACAUUGUG